Molecule: ribosomal RNA, 493 nt
Filed under: Phloiotrya rufipes
Lineage: Eukaryota; Metazoa; Arthropoda; Insecta; Coleoptera; Melandryidae
Description: partial 16S ribosomal RNA
Rfam family: Bacterial large subunit ribosomal RNA (bases 367-493)
Source: RNAcentral
UUUAAAGUCUGGCCUGCCCAAUGAAUUUUAAAUGGCUGCAGUAUUUUAACUGUACAAAGGUAGCAUAAUCAUUAGUUUUUUAAUUGAAAGCUGGAAUGAAAGGUUUGAUGAGAAAAAAAUUGUCUCAAUUUAAUUUAUAAAAUUUUAUUUUUAAGUUAAAAAGCUUAAAUUUUUUUAAAAGACGAGAAGACCCUUUAGAGUUUAAUAUUUUAUUUUAUAUUAAUAAAUAUAAGAUUAUUAAUUUAAAAUUAGAUAAGAUAUUUUAUUGGGGCGAUAGAAAAAUUUAUUUAACUUUUUAUUUUUUUAAUCAUUUAUUUAUGUUUAUUUGAUCCUAUUUUUUAGAUUAUAAGAAAAAAUUACCUUAGGGAUAACAGCGUAAUUUUUUUUUAGAGUUCAUAUUAAAAAAAAAGAUUGCGACCUCGAUGUUGGAUUAAAAUUUAAUUUUGGUGUAGAAGCUAUAUAUUUAAGUCUGUUCGACUUUUAAAAUUUUACA